AGCUAGCGCCGCCGCCGCUCGCCGCCUCGGCACCAGCAGUCGAUCUCCCGCCGUUGUUUGGCCCAGCCAUAGCCUCCGUCGUCGCUCGCCCCCUCUCCCAUAGAUCACACGCCGUCGCGCUCCCCCAGCCCGAUCUGACGCCGCCGCAACUCGCCCCCAGCCCGAACUUCGGCGUCGCCCGACUCCGAUCCCCCGCCGGCCCUCCAGCCAUAGCUCCACCGCCGCUCGACGCCGGUCUCCUCCCUACAGCGCAAGCUCCUCCGCCACCUGAAGCCGGUCUGCCCCAGGCCAAGCUCCCCGGUCCCCUGACGCUGGUUGCAGCCCGACACCGCUCGCCCCAAUGCCAGGCUCCGCCGCCCGCAGAAUAUUCUACCCAGGCGACUCCUCUCUCGCUUUGCUGCCGACCAUGGCAACGACCUCGCCGACACACCUCUGCUGCUAGGAGCUUGUCCGCAGGUUGUUCUUCUCAUUUUUUUUAUCUCCAUAUCAUGUGAAAUAUAGCUCAAAUUGCGAUAUGUCACCUCUGUUUUCCCUUUCUGUCUUUGCAAUGAUGCACUGUAUUGUUGAAAUUAGACAAUUGUUGAUUAAAAUCUGUGAAUCCUUUUUGGUGAUUGGAUAAGAAUUGUUGUUAAAAACAGUGGGGACUGUUGAUUGGAUGGCAAUUGUUGAUGACAUGAUAUUUUUGAAGUUGAUCUGGUUAGGGGGAGCUGCAUUUGUCAUGCCACACAAGAGUACUUUUCUUGUUUUAGCAAGAGAGAUCACUGGAUAUUACUUAUAUUUUUAGUGACUGGUUAUACCAGCUAGCCUUCUAUCCUGAAGGUUCUAUUGCUGAAGGAUAUAUUGUUGAAGAAUGCUUGACCUUUUGUUGAAGAUUUCUAUAAGGAACCACACGUUUCACAAGAACAUCUAAGAACCCUGAUCCUUGAGCUAAUACAAAGGG
Molecule: long non-coding RNA, 940 nt
Filed under: Triticum aestivum (bread wheat)
Lineage: Eukaryota; Viridiplantae; Streptophyta; Magnoliopsida; Poales; Poaceae
Description: long non-coding RNA (TAES_LNC019676)
Source: RNAcentral